GAUGAACGCUGGCGGCGUGCCUAAUACAUGCAAGUCGAGCGAACAGAUAAGGAGCUUGCUCCUUUGACGUUAGCGGCGGACGUGUGAGUAACACGUGGGUAACCUACCUAUAAGACUGGGAUAACUUCGGGAAACCGGAGCUAAUACCGGAUAACAUUUGGAACCGCAUGGUUCUAAAGUGAAAGAUGGUUUUGCUAUCACUUAUAGAUGGACCCGCGCCGUAUUAGCUAGUUGGUAAGGUAACGGCUUACCAAGGCGACGAUACGUAGCCGACCUGAGAGGGUGAUCGGCCACACUGGAACUGAGACCCGGUCCAGACUCCUACGGGAGGCAGCAGUAGGGAAUCUUCCGCAAUGGGCGAAAGCCUGACGGAGCAACGCCGCGUGAGUGAUGAAGGGUUUCGGCUCGUAAAACUCUGUUAUUAGGGAAGAACAAACGUGUAAGUAACUGUGCACGUCUUGACGGUACCUAAUCAGAAAGCCACGGCUAACUACGUG
RNAcentral lists this ribosomal RNA (497 nucleotides) under uncultured bacterium. RNAcentral describes it as "partial 16S ribosomal RNA". It matches the Rfam family "Bacterial small subunit ribosomal RNA", at positions 28 to 507 of the family's 1533-position model. The record is from RNAcentral.